UGCGUAGGUGGGCAAGUAAGUCAGUGGUGAAAUCUCCGGGCUUAACCCGGAAACUGCCAUUGAUACUAUUUGUCUUGAAUACUGUGGAGGUCAGCGGAAUAUGUCAUGUAGCGGUGAAGUGCUUAGAUAUGACAUAGAACACCAAUUGCGAAGGCAGCUGGCUACACAAAUAUUGACACUGAGGCACGAAAGCGGUGGGGAUCAAACA
RNAcentral lists this ribosomal RNA (208 nucleotides) under uncultured bacterium. Its description in RNAcentral is "partial 16S ribosomal RNA". It matches the Rfam family "Bacterial small subunit ribosomal RNA", at positions 568 to 774 of the family's 1533-position model. The record is from RNAcentral.